AUACGUAGGUGGCAAGCGUUGUCCGGAAUUAUUGGGCGUAAAGCGCAUGUAGGAGGCAGUACAAGUUGGAUGUGAAAGCUCCCGGCUUAACUGGGAGAGGUCGUUCAAGACUGUGCAGCUAGAGGGGAGCAGAGGUAGACGGAACUUCGGGAGUAGUGGGGAAAUGCGUAGAUAUCCGGACGAACACCAGAGGCGAAAGCGGUCUACUGGGCUUUACCUGACACUGAGACACGAAAGCCAGGGUAGCAAACGGGAUUAGAUACCCUGGUAGUCCACGCAGUAAACGAUGAUGACUAACCGUCGGCGAUACACAGUCGGUGGCCAAGCGAAAGCGAUAAGUCAUCCACCUGGGGAGUACGUUCGCAAGAAUGAAACUUAAAGGAAUUGGCGGGG
Molecule: ribosomal RNA, 393 nt
Filed under: uncultured bacterium
Lineage: Bacteria
Description: partial 16S ribosomal RNA
Rfam family: Bacterial small subunit ribosomal RNA
Source: RNAcentral